GCGGGAGUCACCUAUCGUAGGAGCUCGGAUGGAGAUUUUCUGUUAGCGGAGUCCGGAGAAGUCCGUCUGAGAUUUAUCUGAUGUGGAGGCUCAUCCAAAGAUCGUCCGUCAGAGAAGUCUGAUUUUAUGGGGAGCCUGGUAGGAGGUCGGUCGGUGAUGGACUUCGGAUAGUGUGGGGGAGGCUCGACAGACAUCAGAGGCGAUCAGCUAUCGCAAGGACCCAGCUGCUGGAGCUCGUCCAUUAUAGAAGCUCGUCCGAAAUCCAUCCACUAGAGAAGUUUGGACGGGAUCCUGUUCUCAUGAGAGAUCGAGAGGGGACUGUCCAUUGUAGGAG
RNAcentral lists this long non-coding RNA (334 nucleotides) under Elaeis guineensis (African oil palm). RNAcentral describes it as "long non-coding RNA (EGUI_LNC066580)". Lineage: Eukaryota; Viridiplantae; Streptophyta; Magnoliopsida; Arecales; Arecaceae. The record is from RNAcentral.